This 277-nucleotide ribosomal RNA is filed under the name uncultured bacterium. RNAcentral describes it as "partial 16S ribosomal RNA". It matches the Rfam family "Bacterial small subunit ribosomal RNA", at positions 28 to 300 of the family's 1533-position model. The record is from RNAcentral.
GACGAACGCUGGCGGCGUGCUUAACACAUGCAAGUCGAGCGGUAAGGCCCUUUUGGGGGUACGACGAGCGGCGAACGGGUGAGUAACACGUGGGUGACCUGCCCUCAGCUCUGGGAUAAGCCUGGGAAACUGGGUCUAAUACUGGAUAUGACCUUUCCUCGCAUGGGGGUUGGGGUGGAAAGUUUUUCGGUCGUGGGGAGUGGGCCCGGCGGCCUAUCAGCUUGUUGGUGGGGUGAUGGCCUACCAAGGCGACGACGGGUAGGCCGGCCUGAGAGGG